Molecule: ribosomal RNA, 107 nt
Filed under: Engelhardtia mirabilis
Lineage: Bacteria; Pseudomonadati; Planctomycetota; Planctomycetia
Source: RNAcentral
CCCGGUGACCAUAGGCUCCUGGCCAUACCCGUUCCCAUCCCGAACACGGUCGUCAAGCAGGAGCUGCCGAUGAUAUUGCGAAAGCGAGAAAGUAGGUAUCGCCGGGG